RNAcentral lists this ribosomal RNA (301 nucleotides) under uncultured bacterium. Its description in RNAcentral is "partial 16S ribosomal RNA". It matches the Rfam family "Bacterial small subunit ribosomal RNA", at positions 509 to 807 of the family's 1533-position model. The record is from RNAcentral.
CAGCCGCCGCGGUAAUACGAAGGGUGCAAGCGUUAAUCGGAAUUACUGGGCGUAAAGCGUGCGUAGGCGGUGAGUUAAGUCUGCUGUGAAAUCCCCGGGCUCAACCUGGGAAUGGCAGUGGAUACUGGCUCGCUAGAGUGUGUCAGAGGAUGGUGGAAUUCCCGGUGUAGCAGUGAAAUGCGUAGAGAUCGGGAGGAACAUCAGUGGCGAAGGCGGCCAUCUGGGACAACACUGACGCUGAGGCACGAAAGCGUGGGGAGCAAACAGGAUUAGAGACCCGUGUAGUCCCUGUCUCUUAUAC